RNAcentral lists this ribosomal RNA (253 nucleotides) under uncultured bacterium. RNAcentral describes it as "partial 16S ribosomal RNA". It matches the Rfam family "Bacterial small subunit ribosomal RNA", at positions 524 to 776 of the family's 1533-position model. The record is from RNAcentral.
UACGAAGGGGGCUAGCGUUGCUCGGAAUCACUGGGCGUAAAGGGUGCGUAGGCGGGUCUUUAAGUCAGGGGUGAAAUCCUGGAGCUCAACUCCAGAACUGCCUUUGAUACUGAAGAUCUUGAGUUCGGGAGAGGUGAGUGGAACUGCGAGUGUAGAGGUGAAAUUCGUAGAUAUUCGCAAGAACACCAGUGGCGAAGGCGGCUCACUGGCCCGAUACUGACGCUGAGGUGCGAAAGCUAGGGGAGCAAACGGG